CAAAAUACCCCUGUGUGGCAAAAAUUUUAUUUUGAUUGUUUUUGAUCUAAAAUAGUAUAUAUUCUCUAAAAACUCGAUAUUUAACAAUGAUUGCUCACAGGAAAGGAAAGAAACUGAUAUGUAAGCCUUGCGGGGUUCCGGUUGGCAUUCCGGAUAAUGAGUGUCAAUCGGGACGUCGCGACGAUUGUCAUGGGCUCGAGGGGAGUACCGGGUCGUGACAUAUGGUGAGUUAAAGCAAGACAACAAAUGGGUAAAUGCUUGAAACCUUGAGAUCAUGGGUGGAAAGAAAAGUAAGAUGGAUAUUGAUUACUUGUGCUUGUGGUAGCAAUGGUGAUCGAAGAUGUGAUGAAUUUGUGAGAUAUAUGUGGAAUUCAUGAUAAAAACUAGAAGGCAAGCAUGCAAUGUGAGUAUAUUAUGUUAUAUUGGAUUUGGUUGGUUAAAAGUUCAUAGAUUGCAUGUUAGAUUAUUGUGAAUGAUGAGGAUAAAAGAUAUGAAAUUUGAUUAAGAUUUGUUUAUUAAGGUGCUGAUCUUAUAUGUGUGCAAUUAAGUAUAUUGAGUUUAAUUUGUUACUAGGAAAUGUAUAAGUGAGGAAAGUUUACUAUGGUGGAGUACUAGAGGAGUUAACAGGCGAUCGGCGAGUAAGAUUAGCUAGAGACGCACCUGAACCAAUAGCGAUAUAGUGUCCUGCUAUUGUGAGGUGAGUAGGGGGUGUCUAUUUCAAAAAGGUUAAAUAGUAUCUAGAAUGUCAUUUCGUAUACUACUAUUAUGUGAAAGAUUUAUAACAUUAAUUGUGGAAAGCAUGAGUUGGUAGAAAUCCUAAGCGGUUGUGGAUGCCAUGACUUUUGAAAUUUCUUUCGAACAUAUAUAUAAGCUAUAUAUGUAAAGGGUUUUAAAAAUCAAGAAACAAGCUCUUUAACACGGUUUAUGUCAAAAUGUGCCUUAUUGUUUGUGUGAUGUACAUUCAUGAAUAAAUUACAUAUUCACCAUGCUAUUUUGAUAUUUAAACCUCAUGCAAAGGUUUUAUAAUAUAAAGUCUUACAAAAAGGGGUUUUAUCAUGUUACCAUGAUUGGCAUUUUGGAAAUGGUUUUGAAAUAAGCUUUUGAGAACCCAACUUGAUUUUUAAAUGAUUUUAUCAAAUUGGAAGAUUCGAGAGUAGGUCGAAUGUCACAUUGGGAUAAUGUGAUCCUUGUGCACAAGUGAGCUCUAGCUAGAGAACCUUUGGGCCACCGACGGGCUAUUAGAUGUGGUUAGGCCACGGUCUGUGAUAUAUAUACGUGGCUAAGCCACCAAUUGAUAUACGUGAUUAUGACCACAUGAUUUCUUCGAUGUCGGCCAACAUCGUCGAGAUUGCCAUGGCUAUGGAAAUCCGGUGGAAGGGGGCCUCCCGGAUGUUAUUACGUGGAAGCAGGUCCACGAGUUCUUUAUUUCUAUCACCUACUCAAGAGUGAUAUCUCUUUGGGUUUUCAAAUACGUAUUCUUUCGCAUGGUGAGAAUUACAUGUUUUUCCACAGCUCUCUUAUUUAUACGAUGGAAUUGUGUUUAAUAUCUUGAGGAUGAGAUCGUUUAUAAACUUCUGUAUAAGCAUCGAUAUUGCUUGAUUUUACAGGAGCGCGUGUGCUUAUGUUAACCUGAUUUUAAGUAAAGGGCAACAAAUGAUUUCAACGAUAGAAGUCUUUUACUUGCACUGGUUUUUUUUUAUAUUACUUGAAGUGAUUAUUUCGCAACACAACUUUUGGGUUUACAUAUAAGGCAUAAAUGCUUCAUUUGAUUUUAAAUUAUUUAUAUAAAUUUGUAUGGUUUUAAUGUUCAAAUUUUCUAUCCUUGGCUUGUUUCCCAUCUACGCCCUGCUCACGAAGCAGAUGAUCAUUGAGUUUGUGAGACUCACCCCUUUAUCUUCCCUUUUUGCAGAUAAGUGAUCAGUUCAAGUGUAUCGCCCCAACAUUUUGACUCGCUGUGACGUAGGUAAUGGCAUCUCUUAGACUUCUACUCCGCGUCGCUCCUCUGCAUAGG
This 2011-nucleotide long non-coding RNA is filed under the name Theobroma cacao (cacao). RNAcentral describes it as "long non-coding RNA (TCAC_LNC003813)". Lineage: Eukaryota; Viridiplantae; Streptophyta; Magnoliopsida; Malvales; Malvaceae. The record is from RNAcentral.